AAAUUUUCGUGUGCUAUAGCCCACGCCUUAUGUCGUAGCUCCGGGCCCUAGACCCGGAUCGUCGAAAAUUUUUCUUGGACGUCGAAUACGGCCAAAAGAACCAUAGUCACCGCCCCGCUAGGACCAAAUUACAUUUAUUGGGAGUUUACGGCCAUAAAAUUGGAAAUCCGCGCGAGUCCCAAAUGUUCGUGUACUAUAUCCCACGCCUUCUGCCGUGGCCCCAGGCCAUUGGACCCGGAUCGUCUAAAAUUUUU
Molecule: long non-coding RNA, 254 nt
Filed under: Nicotiana benthamiana
Lineage: Eukaryota; Viridiplantae; Streptophyta; Magnoliopsida; Solanales; Solanaceae
Description: long non-coding RNA (NBEN_LNC041178)
Source: RNAcentral